GUGUCAGCCGCCGCGGUAAGACGAACCGUCCAAACGUUGUUCGGAAUCACUGGGCUUAAAGGGCGCGUAGGCGGACUGCCAAGUCCGGGGUGAAAUCUUUCGGCUUAACCGGAAAAGGGCCUUGGAAACUGGCGGUCUCGAGGGAGGUAGGGGCCUGUGGAACUUCGGGUGGAGCGGUGAAAUGCGUUGAUAUCCGAAGGAACGCCGGUGGCGAAAGCGACGGGCUGGAUCUCUUCUGACGCUGAGGCGCGAAAGCCAGGGGAGCAAACGGGAUUAGAUACCCUUGUAGUCC
This 292-nucleotide ribosomal RNA is filed under the name uncultured bacterium. Its description in RNAcentral is "partial 16S ribosomal RNA". It matches the Rfam family "Bacterial small subunit ribosomal RNA", at positions 505 to 796 of the family's 1533-position model. The record is from RNAcentral.